UACGUAGGGGGCCAGCGUUGUCCGGAUUUACUGGGCGUAAAGAGCGCGCAGGCGGUCGUUCAAGUCGGGUGUGAAAGCCCCUGGCUCAACUGGGGAGGGUCAUUCGAUACUGAUCGACUGGAAGGCAGGAGAGGGAAGCGGAAUUCCCGGUGUAGUGGUGAAAUGCGUAGAUAUCGGGAGGAACACCAGUGGCGAAGGCGGCUUCCUGGCCUGUUCUUGACGCUGAGGCGCGAAAGCUAGGGGAGCAAACGGG
Molecule: ribosomal RNA, 253 nt
Filed under: uncultured bacterium
Lineage: Bacteria
Description: partial 16S ribosomal RNA
Rfam family: Bacterial small subunit ribosomal RNA
Source: RNAcentral